ACUUCAAACCACGAAAUUUUAACAAGAAAGAGACAAUUUGAUUAGCUUUCAUUCAAGAGGUUCCUCGUUGCUGAACGAAAAUUAGGGCCGGAGCUAUCAAUCCAAACGUUAACAUUACCACCUAUGGAAAAUGCAUUAGAGGGCUAUACCCAUAUUGAGCUCCAUGCUGAUAACAUGUAAAUUGAAAUCUUCUUCAAAGAAUAAAACACAACAAUGAGCCACACUUGAUUGAUGACUGCACCUUUCCUCAUAGCUGGCUGAUUCCAGUAAUCAGAGACAAUGUUGGAAACACAGAGUUAGGGUUCUUUACGACCUACUUUCUCCCCCUGGCUGCUAAACUCAAGAAGAGAUAUAAUGUUUCUUCUGUGUGCAUU
Long non-coding RNA from Magallana angulata, 374 nucleotides. RefSeq lists it as uncharacterized. The record is from RefSeq and is a predicted model, not a curated record. The transcript is spliced from 3 exons. Lineage: Eukaryota; Metazoa; Mollusca; Bivalvia; Ostreida; Ostreidae.